This 427-nucleotide ribosomal RNA is filed under the name uncultured bacterium. Its description in RNAcentral is "partial 16S ribosomal RNA". It matches the Rfam family "Bacterial small subunit ribosomal RNA", at positions 354 to 796 of the family's 1533-position model. The record is from RNAcentral.
GUGGGGAAUAUUGGGCAAUGGGGGCAACCCUGACCCAGCGACGCCGCGUGAGGGAAGACGGCCUUCGGGUUGUAAACCUCUUUUGUACGGGAAGAAGGAUGUGACGGUACCGUGCGAAUAAGUCCCGGCUAACUACGUGCCAGCAGCCGCGGUAAUACGUAGGGGACGAGCGUUGUCCGGAAUUACUGGGCGUAAAGGGCGCGCAGGCUGUAGAUCAAGUCAGCUGUGAAAUGUCUGGGCUUAACCCGGGCAUGCGGUUGAAACUGAUGUACUGGAGUGCUGUAGAGGCAAGUUGAAGUCCCAGUGUAGCGGUGAAAUGCGUAGAUAUUGGGAAGAACACCGGUGGCGAAGGCGACUUGCUGGGCAGCAACUGACGCUGAGGCGCGAAAGCCAGGGGAGCAAACGGGAUUAGAUACCCGAGUAGUCC